Molecule: long non-coding RNA, 616 nt
Filed under: Cricetulus griseus (Chinese hamster)
Lineage: Eukaryota; Metazoa; Chordata; Mammalia; Rodentia; Cricetidae
Description: lncRNA (ENSCGRG00015034309.1)
Source: RNAcentral
GGGCCGGGUGCGAGCGCCUGUGCGCGAGCGCGAGCAAGCGGAGUGCGAGCCUCAGCCUCCCGGGCGCUCCCGCCGCAGCCGCCCAGCUCGCCCCGCCCCGCCCGCGCGCACCGCCGCACCUGCGGGCUCUCGCCCCGGCGUCUGCGGGACCCGAGGGCUCUGAGCGCGCUGCCGCCCUCCCGCGCCGCCCUCGCACACGCAGAUCCCACUUUUAAAGAAUCCGAAGCGGUGCAGCCCAUCGACACCGAGCGCAGCCGGUUGUGCUUGUUCUCUCCCCGUCUGCAGUUGAGCCCGGACCCUGGAAUAGAAAGACAGUUCUCCGUUGGACUGGCAGAAAGGGAAGGCAGACUCCUCGGUUCCCGAGGAGAGCGGAGCGGCUGCUCUAGUGAAGAAAUGAAGAAUCAAAGAAGUAAAGGAUCUAUUUCAAAAUCACAUAACUAGAAACACUGGAGACUCACAGGAAAAAAAAACUGUUCUAUGACACAAGAAGAAGAUGCUUCUUUUAUGAUUGCACAUUGGAUGGAAAAGAAGUUACUCUAUGAACAACCAUAGAAGAUGAUUUACAUAAUGUAAAAGUUUUCAUAGUGGGCAAAGAAUAGAUCCUGGAUAAUAUUUC